UUACGUUUCCAGAGUUCAUUUCGCACGCAAGUAUGGCCGAUGCCGAUAAGGUUUAAAGACGUGUUGUUUAGGAAAUAUAUAUCUCUCUCUGGUUCUUCGUCGUCCCACUGUUCUCUUCUCUUCUCUCACCACUCACGUGUCGGAACUAUAACGUUGUAGUACCGAACCUCCACGGUCUACUUGUACCAAGAAGACGAACAAUAUGACCUCUAGUAAGACGAGCAACGCUACGGCAGACCUCACGACCGAAAAGUUAGUAUAUCUUCCUGGCCGGGGCUGACAGGUCCUACACGACCACUAGGAACAUUAACAAAUGGUACUCUUCUCCUGAUUAUGUAUACGAGCAGGCGGUGGUAGAUACUAAGUGCUGCUGAAUAAAGAGGGACAUUAUUCUGCAUAUAAUAAGGAGGAACGUUAUUCUUAACACUACUAGAGUAUACAUACUGGUUCGAAGCACAUAUAUGCCCUUUUCACUUUGGCCGAGGUUAAUGGUGUGCGAGUUACUGGGGGGAA
This 513-nucleotide ribosomal RNA is filed under the name Triticum aestivum (bread wheat). Its description in RNAcentral is "partial small subunit ribosomal RNA". The record is from RNAcentral. Lineage: Eukaryota; Viridiplantae; Streptophyta; Magnoliopsida; Poales; Poaceae.